GACGAACGCUGGCGGCGUGCUUAACACAUGCAAGUCGAACGGAAAGGCCCUGCUUUUGUGGGGUGCUCGAGUGGCGAACGGGUGAGUAACACGUGAGUAACCUGCCCUUGACUUUGGGAUAACUUCAGGAAACUGGGGCUAAUACCGGAUAGGAGCUCCUGCUGCAUGGUGGGGGUUGGAAAGUUUCGGCGGUUGGGGAUGGACUCGCGGCUUAUCAGCUUGUUGGUGGGGUAGUGGCUUACCAAGGCUUUGACGGGUAGCCGGCCUGAGAGGGUGACCGGCCACAUUGGGACUGAGAUACCGCCCAGACUCCUAACGGAGGCAGGAGGGGGGAAUAUUGCACAAUGGGCGGAAGCCUGAUGCAGCAACGCCGCGUGCGGGAUGACGGCCUUCGGGUUGUAAACCGCUUUCGCCUGUGACGAAGCGUGAGUGACGGUAAUGGGUAAAGAAGCACCGGCUAACUACGUG
RNAcentral lists this ribosomal RNA (468 nucleotides) under uncultured bacterium. Its description in RNAcentral is "partial 16S ribosomal RNA". It matches the Rfam family "Bacterial small subunit ribosomal RNA", at positions 28 to 507 of the family's 1533-position model. The record is from RNAcentral.